AUGUGGCUGAGUGUUGCUUGUAAUCGUCACCAAAAUGAGGGACUUUCUCAGCUCCACCACAGCCAGGCAGUGCGCAGUGCUUCUGGGAAGAGGAAGGCCCUUCUGUGGAGGAGUAACUCAGAGCAGCAAUGGACACUUUUUCUACGGACCUGUUGUGAUGCAUUUACUCAGGAUGAUGUCAGAACCAAGGGAGGAGCAAGAGAACACAAUUUCCAAUAUGAGCAACUCCAGGCACAUCCUCAUACUCCAUGGUAUGAUGCUGAACCAACAACAGCAGAAGUGGUGGUGUCUGCAUGGCUCACCUUUGACAGAGUGGCCUGGAUAACAACAGCUGUUAAGAUAGGAGCAGGAAGAUAAACAGCAUAUGGGAAUGGAGGGCCCAAAACUGGCUGAGAAGACAUUUGUCUCCAAUGCUUAUUUAAGAGAGGAAGACAAGGAUCAGCCAGAUUAAUAACCCGGGAAUUACAAACAGAUGAAGUAUAAAAGAAUUGAAAAUCUGAGACACUGGAAACAGAGAUCAUGGGAUAGAAGCAGACCAUCAGCCAAUACCUGGUUCAGCACUGCCCCAAGUAACUCCACUGGGAUCAUGAUCUCUGCCGAGGCCUGACUGAGCAUCCUCCCCUUCAGGCACCGUGAGUAGCCAGCAUGCCAGCUACUGGAGUGAUGGUAUAAGGUGUAACACAUAGGGACAAACAUUUUGAAUAAGCUUGUGUGAACUUAUGAGGUGCUUUCUCACCAGCAUGUGCCUUAGCAGACUGUAGGAAGCACCACAGAGCUGGAGCAACCAGGAGGUAAGGAGGUGAACAUGCACUCCCAAAGAUGGUAUGUGUUUGUAACCCACACUUCCUUCCAACAUGUGUGUGACCUUGUGUAUGCAUGUGAGGGGGGAAUUAGAGCUUUUUGAGAUAAGUUACAGAAGGGUGGAGAUGUAUAGGUAUUAAUUAACAUUUUGGAAACAUCUAGUGCUCUGACUUACCUGUUGUAUUAUUGAUACGAUCUUGAAUGCAUAGUUCAUUGGUUGCUGGUCAAUUCUGUGCCAUGCAUAAACCAAUAAACUACAUUGAUCCACAUUCA
This 1074-nucleotide long non-coding RNA is filed under the name Anser cygnoides (Swan goose). Its description in RNAcentral is "lncRNA (ENSACDG00005006482.1)". Lineage: Eukaryota; Metazoa; Chordata; Aves; Anseriformes; Anatidae. The record is from RNAcentral.